UGCAGGGUGUUUCUGAUCGAUGAUGU
Molecule: non-coding RNA, 26 nt
Filed under: Rattus norvegicus (Norway rat)
Lineage: Eukaryota; Metazoa; Chordata; Mammalia; Rodentia; Muridae
Source: RNAcentral